This is a long non-coding RNA of Micropterus dolomieu (smallmouth bass), 726 nucleotides long. RefSeq lists it as uncharacterized. NCBI's taxonomy places the organism in Eukaryota, Metazoa, Chordata, Actinopteri, Centrarchiformes, Centrarchidae. The transcript has 2 exons. The record is from RefSeq and is a predicted model, not a curated record.
CGAGAUCGCGUUAUGUUCUUCCUGCGUGAUUAUGUCACAUUCCUGACCAAUCAACAUGCUACACUUAGCAACAAGCAACAUCUUAGUAGAGCCGGUGCAGCCAGCAAGACAGGGAGAAACGUAUGUGAUGCCGUUCUCUCCACAGACUGGGUCCCAGUCACCCGCUGAACAAAAACAGUCGGAGUUGCAGGCUGUGAACACUGAGUGCUUAUCAUAUGAUAUCGUAUCCAUGCUAGAAUGAUGAGAAAGCAUAAAUGAGACGCAAUUACUUAUUAUGCCAUUACACUGGAUAUUCAAUUUGUCAUCGCACACAUAAGUUUACGUUUAAAUGCUUCCUAUAGUUGUAAUGCAUUAGUAAAAUAAAUGCUGUGGGUUGAAGCAACAUUACCAGAAGAAACUAUGGGGGAAAAAAUUACCUUUGAGAGAAAAUAAUGUUAUAAUGUAUUCCUUGCUGGGUUUUAAUUGUGUGUGCACCUAUCGGCGCUGCUUUUAAUCUGUUUUGUCAGCAGUGUCACUUCGGUUGUGUCUGCUGCUGAACCUGAGUUUUAACUAAAUGUUGUCUGUCUACUAAAUGUUGUCUGUCUAAACCUGUAUCCACUCCCCCCUACCCUCAAGAGGCUACUCAACUCUUGCCAAGCCGUCCUCCUAAAUAAGAAGUUGUUCUUAAGAGUCUUGCCUGGUUAAAUAAAGGUUUAAUAAAAAUAAAUAAAUAAAAAUAAUAAUUAA